RNAcentral lists this ribosomal RNA (458 nucleotides) under uncultured bacterium. RNAcentral describes it as "partial 16S ribosomal RNA". It matches the Rfam family "Bacterial small subunit ribosomal RNA", at positions 338 to 795 of the family's 1533-position model. The record is from RNAcentral.
CCUACGGGUGGCAGCAGUGAGGAAUAUUGGUCAAUGGGCGAGAGCCUGAACCAGCCAAGUCGCGUGAGGGAGUACUGCCCUAUGGGUUGUAAACCUCUUUUGUCGGGGAGCAAAAGCCGGACGUGUCCGGCUGUGAGAGUACCCGAAGAAAAAGCAUCGGCUAACUCCGUGCCAGCAGCCGCGGUAAUACGGAGGAUGCGAGCGUUAUCCGGAUUUAUUGGGUUUAAAGGGUGCGCAGGCGGAUUUUUAAUUCAGCGGUAAAAUCGUGGGGCUCAACCCCAUCCAGCCGUUGAAACUGGGGAUCUAGAGUGUGCGAGAGGUAUGCGGAAUGCGUGGUGUAGCGGUGAAAUGCAUAGAUAUCACGCAGAACCCCGAUUGCGAAGGCAGCAUACCGGUGCACAACUGACGCUCAGGCACGAAAGCGUGGGUAUCGAACAGGAUUAGAUACCCUAGUAGUC